GACGAACGCUGGCGGCGUGCUUAACACAUGCAAGUCGAACGGAAAGGCCCUGCUUUUGUGGGGUGCUCGAGUGGCGAACGGGUGAGUAACACGUGAGUAACCUGCCCUUGACUUUGGGAUAACUUCAGGAAACUGGUGCUAAUACCGGAUAGGAGCUCCUGCUGCAUGGUGGGGGUUGGAAAGUUUCGGCGGUUGGGGAUGGACGCGCGGCUUAUCAGCUUGUUGGUGGGGUAGUGGCUUACCAAGGCUUUGACGGGUAGUCGGCCUGAGAGGGUGGCCAGCGACCUGGGGACUGCGGGACGGCGCAGUCGCCUACGGGAGGCAGCGGGGGAGAAUAUUGGCCAAUGGGGGGAAGCCUGAUGAGACAACGCCGCGUGCGGAAAGACGGUCUUCGGGUUAUAAACCGCUUUCGCCUGUGACCAAGCGUGAGUGACGGUAAUGGGAGAAGAAGCACCGGCUAACUACGUG
Molecule: ribosomal RNA, 468 nt
Filed under: uncultured bacterium
Lineage: Bacteria
Description: partial 16S ribosomal RNA
Rfam family: Bacterial small subunit ribosomal RNA
Source: RNAcentral